Molecule: ribosomal RNA, 377 nt
Filed under: uncultured bacterium
Lineage: Bacteria
Description: bacterial SSU rRNA
Rfam family: Bacterial small subunit ribosomal RNA
Source: RNAcentral
ACGAACGCUGGCGGCGUGCUUAACACAUGCAAGUCGAGCGGUAAGGCCCUUUCGGGGGUACACGAGCGGCGAACGGGUGAGUAACACGUGGGUGACCUGCCCUCAGCUCUGGGAUAAGCCUGGGAAACCGGGUCUAAUACCGGAUAUGACUCCAUGACGCAUGUUGUGGGGUGGAAAGCCUUGUGCGGCUGAGGAUGGGCCCGCGGCCUAUCAGCUUGUUGGUGGGGUGAUGGCCUACCAAGGCGACGACGGGUAGCCGGCCUGAGAGGGCGACCGGCCACACUGGGACUGAGACACGGCCCAGACUCCUACGGGAGGCAGCAGUGGGGAAUCUUGCGCAAUGGGCGAAAGCCUGACGCAGCGACGCCGCGUGAGGG